RNAcentral lists this ribosomal RNA (253 nucleotides) under uncultured bacterium. RNAcentral's name for it is "partial 16S ribosomal RNA". It matches the Rfam family "Bacterial small subunit ribosomal RNA", at positions 524 to 776 of the family's 1533-position model. The record is from RNAcentral.
GACGGAGGAUGCAAGUGUUAUCCGGAAUCACUGGGCGUAAAGCGUCUGUAGGUGGUCAAAUAAGUCAACUGUUAAAUCUUGAGGCUCAACCUCAAAAUCGCAGUCGAAACUAUUAGACUAGAGUAUAGUAGGGGUAAAGGGAAUUUCCAGUGGAGCGGUGAAAUGCGUAGAGAUUGGAAAGAACACCGAUGGCGAAGGCAACCCCCUGGGACGAUACUGACGCUGAGGCACGAAAGCGUGGGGAGCAAACAGG